CGGUUCAAGGUUGAACUGGUUCAACCGGCCGAGUGAAUCCGGUUUUUAAAACAUUGAUUAGAACUAACCUCCGUUUGGCAUCAUCAAUCAUAGUUCAGCAAUGAAACUUCAGAAGAAUGAAACUCCCAGAUGUUGACUACACUAACAUCACCAUCAAACUAGAGGGAGGCUAUGUAAUUCACAGUUGCAGAAAAAUAGAACUUCCAUAUUACGGUCAAACCAAUGGAGCUAAUGGAAUGUAUCCGAGCGGAAUGGAAUAAAGCUGACAUUGUAUUGUUUGACCAUUUCACGACGGAAUAGAUAGAGCAAUUUUGUGGUUAUGCAUAAAUAUUUCAGUGUUCCAUAGAAGAUUCACUAUUCUUCGAUCGAACCCAAAAUUGGCCCUACACAACGGGAGUGUCAAAUUGCCUCUUCUCCACCAUCAACAUCACCACAGAACACUUCUACACCCAACGCAGAGAAAUCCAAUUACUAUCUCACAUACACAUACAGGAAGUGGCCUUACAGCUCUAUCUUUUGAUCUUGCACCUCGCUGUUUACCAAUCUCUGGAUGAUCCGGUUCCAUGUAGCAUCGAGCUCUGUAGGCUGCCAAAUGAGCAUAGUAUGCCGGAGGUACUACACAUGAAAUAAAAAUUUAUAUUUGAUAACCGGAACUAAUUUUCUUUGAAACCACCUAAAAAUAGACAAUACAUUGAUGCAUGUUAACCUGUGAAGUUAGUUGCACAAAUGUGCAUAACAAUUGUUGGUCGGUUAGUGUCUGAGACUUACAUUUACCAUACAUAUCAGUCGAUUAUGUUUUAUUUAUGUUUAGACAGUUUAGUAAGAGCGAGAUGAUUUACCUACAGAAACAGACCGCGUACAUCUUGCAUAGCUGCAACCAAAAGAUUAGGAAGGUUACUUCAUUGUUAAGAAUAGAGCAGACAAACUAGACAGACUCAAGAUGGUAAAUAGAGAAACUAUUUACGUGUAGCAUAAGUUGUUAGUUAGAGACUGAAUCUCAUCUGCACUGAAAUUGUUCUCAUCCCAGAGGACAUGAUAGUGUGCUGGUCUACUUGUACCCUACAAAAUUUCCAAUCAUAGCAUAAAUUAGAUAACCGCUACAUGCUACACAUUGCAAAAAUCCCAAUCUUCUAAUGAGGCAAAUUUAAUAUCAUUAUCAUACCUGAAUUCCUGCGUGACUGCAUAAGUAGAAAUCAAAUUCAGUAGGAUGACAGAUCUUUGAAUCCACCACAGUACCUACAUUACAGUCAGAAACAAACCUCUCAACUCUGGGCUGAUUUAUGUAUCUGGUUCAUGAAAUUGUAGAGUAACCAAAAUAUAUUGCAAAUAUAAGGAAACCCUCCCGCUGAGAACUAUGUAGAGACUAACACAUGGAUAUUCUUAAAACAAUGACAUGUCAAAUCAAACACAAAUUCUAGCAUCUAAUAGUAUCAAAAAACCUUUACCAGGUAAGAUAUUUCCACUCGUAUCAGUGCUGUUUCUGUCAUUGUGAUUGUUUGGGAAGAGUCUAGUGUGAUGCCGUUUUUGAACCACCACAAAUGUUACCGGAGGUUGGUAACUUGAUUCCAAAGAUGCACAAGCCUACACAUCAUAAGAAUGUAAAAAUUGUAUGAUAUAAGAGGUUGCGAGUAAGGCAGCCCAGCCACAAUCUUGGGCCUCGCCAUUUUUUAGGCCUAAAAUUUAAUUAUUUUAAUUUAAUUAAUAGUACUUAAAAAUAUUAAUUAUAUUAGGUUUCGUAGUAUAAAUUUUAGUCAUUGAAGUUGCUAAUGAUUGAUUUACUAAAAUAUUAGUCAAUUAUGUGAAUGUUUUUAAUAUUCACUUUUGUGGUGUUUACUAUUAUAAAAGUUAACCAGGACUCUAAUUUUGUUGUUGGUGCUGCUAUUUAAAGAACUUCAUUUUAAAUUUCACUUUAAACCUUCAGAUUUGUUGAGUAUAGUCAAUAUUAGAUAUAACCAUAUUGAGAUUCUUGUCCAACUACCUUACGGAUGGCGUCAAGCUCAUAUAGCAAAACUUGAUAGAACUGUCCUUCACUUACCCCAUCCCUGAAAAUGUUGGUUAUAAUUAUAUUUUAGUAACUCCUCAUUCGUAAUUUCCUCAAAAAUUCAGUAGAAAACACCUGAACAGAUCAUUCCGACCUGUAAAAGAUUAUUCUCAAUGGUUUUUGUCCAGUUGCCUUCUUAAAUGAAAGUAAAAGCUCCCUGAAGAAGCACAAAACAUACACACAGAUUUGGACAUCAUCAAAUAAUAAGUACCAAAAAGCCAUUAAGAUGUUUGUUUCUAGUAAAUAAUGAUUCAAGUGACAUCCAUUUGUUACACAAGUGUAAAACACAAUAACCUAAUAGGAAAUGGAAACAUUGUCAACUGGGGAUAACUCAGGCUUAGGAAGUAAAUAAAGUCGAGGCCUAAGGGGAACCUAGGACAUAAAACAAAGAGAGGAAAUAUAAAAUUUAAGAGGUAGACAUGUACACAGAUUAUGAAGAUUGUUAAAUCCAAUGUUUUAAAAAUCAGACCAGAAAUCAAACGAUGAGACUUGGGAUCAUGGUUCAAUUAGUUCAAAUAUGGUUCAAACGGAUGACAAAUGAAUAAGUUAAAAAGUAAAAACAGAACUGGAUGAACAACGGUUCAAUCCGGUUCAGUCAAACUAAGGUAACACCAGGAUCAAACAAACCGGCGAAUUGGCUGGUUCCUAGUUGAACCGGACAGUUCGGUCCAAUUUUUAGAAUACUGGUUAGAACUUAGAAGAGCUGCUGCUGAAGUACCUGAUCAUACCACCGUAAACCACUCCCCUUUGUGGAUCUUUCCAACACUUGUAAAGAUCUUUGAUGAGUUCUUCACGAUGAGGCUGAGCGCAAACCAACCCUGCAUACUUCGUUACUUCUGGCCAGUCUUGAGAGGCUACAACCUGGAUGAACAUAAUCAGUAUAUAUCGAACAUUGGCCAUAUCUGAGUUGUAUGAAUUUGGAAAUGCUUACUGCAGCAAUGGAUGGGCAAUUAUUGUCUCCGGAUUCUGCAUGAGUUACAUCAGCUCCAAAUAUUAUUGUCGGAAUAUCACUAACCAGUGGAAUCCUCCAACUUAAUGCAUCCAAAAGUACUGUGUUUCUUCCUCCCAUCUAAAAGAAUAAUUCAUUUGUUUAAUAAAUGACAAUGAAAACAAUACUUAGAAAAAUAUGACCCAAAGAAUUGAGUAAAUAUUUAAAUGUAGCAUGUAGCCACCCUGACCUUUUCGAUUAUAAAGUAUAAUAGAUCAUUUAAUAAUAACAAACCUUGACAUUGAGUUUUAGGGCCACAUUUGCCAGGUACUGUCUGUGCGUCUUGAAUACAUAUUUUGCAAGACAGCAUUGAGAAAUCAACCCUAGAUCUGUUUCACAGAUUCUUUUGAGAUCACCUGAAUAAUGAAUUUGUUUUUUUAAUACGAGUUUGAAGUAAUUUUCUUCCCGGGAAAAUUUGAAAUGAAAUAUGCAUAACAAGAAAAAUGCUAAGCAGUAAGCACCUUUUUUCUGGUCAACAUGUUAGAAAAGUGAUAGAAGAAAUAUUAAGCUACCAUAACCUCUUAUAAUUUCUAUAUCCACAUAAAAGUUUUUUCCUAUUAAGAUUAAGAAAUGAUGCAAACAGAGUGGGAUCCCAGAAUCAUACCAUACAAAGAGCCAUUAAUGUCUGGAAGAAUGGCAAUCAACAACUCUAGCUCUUUACCAUCAAGUUUGUCUAGAGCUGCAGUAUGUACAUACUUCAAAGCCUUCUUGACCUGGUCUGGUCUUGCUGAAUAUACAGGUAUCACAGGUUCCAGACUAAAUUCCUGAUAGAAGUAAGCACUUAGUUUUAUUUUAUAACCAAACACGGCCUUAGUGUCCAAUGUCCAUGAUGACAAACAAUAGGAGAGGAAUGAUUAUAAUUGGAAAUUUUUUACAUUCAAACAAUUUGUUUCUGGAGCCAAAACUGUGCUAACAAGGGCAUAACGAAAGUUUGAAUUUUUACCAUGCCUAAGAUUCGACACUUCUGAACUAACUGUUGGCAAAAUCCGCGAGCUGUACUUUCUUGUACACUUCGUGAGAAAUUGAUGCAUGCCCAAUACCUUACAGUACACCCAUUUAUAACUUUCUGCAUUGAAAUUAGUAGGAACAAGUUACCUUCUUUUUUCUUCAUAUAGAAGUGUUUUUUUCUCUCUUUUAUAAUUAAAAUAUUUACAGGAUAAUAUGUUCAUGCCUGAGCUGACCUUGUUCAUCAUAUUCCAUUGUCCUACUUGUGGCAAGUGUUCUUUCUCUCUUCCAGUGUCAUUAUAUUUCAACUAUUGGAAAAAAGAACCAAAGUGUACUUGCAUUAUAAUCAUAAAAGCUAACAAGAUAGGUAAAGUAAACAAUUAAAUAAUAAAAGGAUUACCCAUGGAGGUGGAAGAACCCGGGCCUCCACUGAUGCAAGCGUGUUGUCUAUGCUGAUGCCAAACUCCUUUGCAAAGGGAUUGUUCUCAUAAUUGUUUUGUGUAAUUGUCUACAAUUGAAUAGGGAAAGUUCUAGAUUAGUAAAGCAAAUGAAUUACAACUUUUAUUAUGUUUGAAGAGGAAGAGCAUGGAGUACUAUAACACAUGAAAGUACCUAAUAUCAGAUAUUUAAAGUUAUGAAAUAUACAAAUACUAACCUGUUUAAAUAUAUGUCUAAACUUAGUGAGCCUGCCUAAUGGGCUAAAUACAAGUUACUACUAGUAAAGUGUUAUUGAAUAUCAAUGGCGGUUUUUGUGCUGGCCACAUUGGUAUAUAUUGGUAGCUAUUGCUUGUUUUUCCAUUAUAUCUGUAAUGACAGCGUCAAAAGCAACCAAUAUGGCGGGAUUUUGGCUGUCCGCCAUCGCUAACACUAACUAGUAAUUAUAAAAAUAAUUAUUUAAAGCUAACAUUGACCAGAAUUAUAGAAAUAAAUGAUUUAAAGCCAGUCCUUUCAAACUGAUGAAUGAAUAACUAUCAAUCCUAACUUGAAAACAAUUCUUUUAAAUAUAUUGUUGUUCAAAGUUCUGCAAAGCUACCUUGAGAAGAGACAUGGGGUGCAUAUUUUUCUUUGAUGAAGUGUUUGUCAAUUUCAGUAUGUUUGGUUCUAUACUGCACUCGAUUAUGAGCUACGCUAAUAGAAAAUUUAUAAUCUCGAUGAUGUUUCAUAGUCUCAUCCUACUUUAUUCCCAAGUCUGCUAAGAUGAUGAUCAUCGAUAGUAGUUCAUCUAUCUCAUGUUAUUGUUUUGAACUAUGCUUCAGCACUAGAUCUGGAUACCCCAUUUUAUUUUUUAUUCUUCCAAGUCAUAAGAUACCCCAUUUUAUUUUUAUUCUUCCAAGUCAUAAGAUACCCACCUAAAAAUGCAAUAUCUUGUAGUUGAUUUUAUAUCAACAAUUGACCCUGCAUAGUUAGCAUCAAUAUAUGCUUCAAGACCCACAUUUCCUUAUGGUUUGAACAAAAUUCCUUUACAUAGGGUUCCUUUUAAAUAUUGCACAAUUAGAAUUGAAAUUUGUAAAUGAGUCUCCUUUAGUUGGUGCAUUAAUUGGCUGACUAAGCUUAUUGCAAAGACCAUUCCGGUCUAGUAUGUGAUAGAUAUAUAAGUUUGUUGACUACCCUUAAAUACAUUUCCUUAUCGACUGCAGUAUCUUCUUUUGCGUUCUCCAAUUUUACAUUUAGAUCAAUUGGUUUACUUGCAGUAGUUGGAUUUUUGUUUCUUAUGAUUUAUUCGGCUGGGAUUUGGUUCCCUAUAUAAUGUUGGGCUAGAUUCUGGUUCACGUGCACGAGAAAAAUCAUAAAUUAAAUCCCUAGAGUUUGAAAGGGUAAGGGAAGGUACUUCAUGUGAUGUCGAAUUGAACUAUUGGAUAUGAGUAGAUUAAAAAAUGAUCUUUUUCCUUUAUAUACCAGAUUCUUAUGAUAUCUUACAUCUAUUAUAACAUUUCCAUUUUUCUCAAUCAAUUUGAUGUAAUGGUUGGCUUUUACAGACAUGUUCCUCUUAAUUCUCACUCCAAACUAAUUUUUUUUACCAUUGAGAAGAGUUGUAGAAACACAUAGGUAACUUUAGACAGAAAGACCUUCUCCCUAUUGGUCUUAAUUGAUUUAGAAAAAAGAUGUUGUUCAGUAUACUUGGAGGAAGUAUCUGCUUAUCAAAAUAAUAAAGGCAUUCUUUUCUCUAGCAUUCCCAUUGUCCUCCUCAAACACUUGUAUUGAAAAACUCAAACAUCGUAUAAAAAAAUAUUAUAUGAUAAGUUUUUUGUGAGCUUUUGUAUAGAAAUUAGGCUAGUAGACAAUUUGAGAAUAAGAAAGACAAUUUGUAAAUUAUAAAUAAACUUAUUUGGACAUCUCCUUGACCUGCUGGAAUUAUAAGGGUACCAUCCACUGUGAAUAUUUUAUUGUUUCUAGGAGUUAUAAUAACUAAUUUCAAUUGACCUGCAGGUUUUAAGCAAUUGCAAUUUAACACUACGUAGCAGGGUGCUAUAAUAACUAAUUUCAUACUUUUUGUUAUCAUUUUAUAAGUGAGUAGCAUCCGCUAACUUCAACGAUGAUUAAUUUUGAGUACAACGCUAUUUAGACAAAUGGAAUGUUGAUCUUAUAUGACUAUUUCAUGUAUAGUUUUCAAUUAACUCUGAAAAGUAAAAUAAAACAGAAGGGAGAAGAUGGAUGGUGAUGAUAUCAACAAUCCAUGAUAAUGACCUGUAAAAUGUCUGUUUCUUGUUCACGGGGUCUCUGGCAUGAGAACUUAAGCAAAGAAGUUAUUUGCUUUUCGUUCAGUCCUUUUGUAUAUCUCUGGCCCCUAACUAUCUUGCAUACCUGAGGCAACAUUUACAUGAAUUCUCCCUGCACGAAGAACCAUAAUAAAACCAGAACAAUUAUUUGAUUAAAUUCAAAAGCAUAGCUUACCUCCAUGGGCAUAUAGUUCACCUUACUUGGACUUCCUACUUGAAGGCAAGGGGAAAACUGUUCAUGCAGGGAAGAAACAAUCAUUUCUUAAGAGAUGAAUCUUAAAAAUAUAACACAAGUUCAGUUUGCUUGAUGUGAAGAAGUCAUACAUAAGCUCUCUUGUUGGUUGUGAAGUCAAUCCUGAUAUUCUGUACUUCCUUCUAAAAUUUCCUCUAUGUGUGAUGUCUACUUUUACUCCUCUUAAGGCCUUUUUAAUCUGCUUGCAAGUGACAAAACAAAGAUUUCAUCGUUAGAUAUUACUUAAAUGUUUCUCUGAAUUUAGUUUGAAAGUUGUAUAUUCUCAUGCCAAUAAAAAACACUUUUUUUUUUUUGUUUUAUUCAUUUUCUGCAUAUAUUACUGUAACCGAGAACAUGUUUGGUAUAACAAUGAGUAUGUUGAAACUAUAGUGAGACCAUGAUUUUGUUGAAAUUCCAAAGUGUAGCUUUUGCAAAAUUGUGGCGGUUUUCUGUAAUUCUGUCAAACUCAGCAGAAAUUCAAAUAUAUACUUGCAUAUGUUUGGUAUGGCAGCAUGCUAGGCAAAAUCACAGUCAAAACUCAACGAUUUUAUUUAAAAUCUUCAAAGACUAUCUAUAGUCUAGUAACUCAUAUCACACUUUAGAUGUUAAGUCAUGAGCGUGAGAGUAGUUAAAAAAAUCGUAGAGUCACAUGCUAUCAAAUUAUUCUUCUGAUAACACUAAUAGUUGAAUUAAAUUUAAUCCAAAUUUUAAAGAAAUUUCGAAGUUGAAUCUUUUGAGCAUAAAGAAACACUUUUCUAUAAGCAAAUGAGAAGUAUUAGUAAGGGAUUAUUUUAUGAAGCCAUUGUUUAAUUGGCCUUGGCUUUGGAUAGUAUAGGGCAUGCUAUGAUCAGCUAUAUAACAUAACUAGUGACUUUUUUUGGAAGUAAUGAUUGCUUGGUUGACA
This is a long non-coding RNA of Vicia villosa (hairy vetch), 7827 nucleotides long. RefSeq lists it as uncharacterized. NCBI's taxonomy places the organism in Eukaryota, Viridiplantae, Streptophyta, Magnoliopsida, Fabales, Fabaceae. The record is from RefSeq and is a predicted model, not a curated record. The transcript has 3 exons.